UACGUAGGGGGCAAGCGUUGUCCGGAAUCAUUGGGCGUAAAGGGCGCGUAGGCGGCCUGCUAAGUCGAACGUGAAAUCCCUGGGCUCAACCCAGGAACUGCGUCCGAUACUGGUUGGCUUGAAUCCGGGAGAGGGAUGUGGAAUUCCAGGUGUAGCGGUGAAAUGCGUAGAUAUCUGGAGGAACACCGGUGGCGAAGGCGACAUCCUGGACCGGCAUUGACGCUGAGGCGCGAAAGCCAGGGGAGCAAACGGG
This 253-nucleotide ribosomal RNA is filed under the name uncultured bacterium. Its description in RNAcentral is "partial 16S ribosomal RNA". It matches the Rfam family "Bacterial small subunit ribosomal RNA", at positions 524 to 776 of the family's 1533-position model. The record is from RNAcentral.